RNAcentral lists this ribosomal RNA (433 nucleotides) under uncultured bacterium. RNAcentral describes it as "partial 16S ribosomal RNA". It matches the Rfam family "Bacterial small subunit ribosomal RNA", at positions 29 to 507 of the family's 1533-position model. The record is from RNAcentral.
AACGAACGCUGGCGGCAUGCCUAACACAUGCAAGUCGAACGAGACCUUCGGGUCUAGUGGCGCACGGGUGCGUAACGCGUGGGAACCUGCCCUUAGGUUCGGAAUAACUCCCCGAAAGGGGUGCUAAUACCGGAUAAUGUCUUCGGGCCAAAGAUUUAUCGCCUUUGGAUGGGCCCGCGUUGGAUUAGCUAGUUGGUAGGGUAAAAGCCUACCAAGGCGACGAUCCAUAGCUGGUCUGAGAGGAUGAUCAGCCACACUGGGACUGAGACACGGCCCAGACUCCUACGGGAGGCAGCAGUGGGGAAUAUUGGACAAGGGGCGAAAGCCUGAUCCAGCAAUGCCGCGUGAGUGAUGAAGGCCUUAGGGUUGUAAAGCUCUUUUACCCGGGAUGAUAAUGACAGUACCGGGAGAAUAAGCUCCGGCUAACUCCGUG